Molecule: small nuclear RNA, 138 nt
Organism: Saimiri boliviensis boliviensis (Bolivian squirrel monkey)
Lineage: Eukaryota; Metazoa; Chordata; Mammalia; Primates; Cebidae
Gene: U4
Rfam family: U4 spliceosomal RNA
About the family: U4 small nuclear RNA (U4 snRNA) is a component of the major U2-dependent spliceosome. The structure of U4 snRNA from yeast and human has been reported.
Source: Ensembl
AACUUUGCACAGUAGCAGUGUAGCCAAUGAGGUUUAUCUGAGGUGCGAUCAUUGCGAAUUGAAAACUUUUCCCAAUACCCUGCUGUGACGACUUGCAAUAUAGUCAGCAUUGGCAAUUUUUGGCAGUCUCUACAGAGA